UAGGGAAUCUUCCGCAAUGGACGAAAGUCUGACGGAGCAACGCCGCGUGAGUGAUGAAGGUUUUCGGAUCGUAAAACUCUGUUGUUAGGGAAGAACAAGUACCAGAGUAACUGCUGGUACCUUGACGGUACCUAACCAGAAAGCCACGGCUAACUACGUGCCAGCAGCCGCGGUAAUACGUAGGUGGCAAGCGUUGUCCGGAAUUAUUGGGCGUAAAGCGCGCGCAGGCGGUCCUUUAAGUCUGAUGUGAAAGCCCACGGCUCAACCGUGGAGGGUCAUUGGAAACUGGGGGACUUGAGUACAGAAGAGAAGAGUGGAAUUCCACGUGUAGCGGUGAAAUGCGUAGAGAUGUGGAGGAACACCAGUGGCGAAGGCGACUCUUUGGUCUGUAACUGACGCUGAGGCGCGAAAGCGUGGGGAGCAAACA
Molecule: ribosomal RNA, 427 nt
Filed under: uncultured bacterium
Lineage: Bacteria
Also listed under: 1 other name
Description: bacterial SSU rRNA
Rfam family: Bacterial small subunit ribosomal RNA
Source: RNAcentral